This 468-nucleotide ribosomal RNA is filed under the name uncultured bacterium. RNAcentral's name for it is "partial 16S ribosomal RNA". It matches the Rfam family "Bacterial small subunit ribosomal RNA", at positions 28 to 507 of the family's 1533-position model. The record is from RNAcentral.
GACGAACGCUGGCGGCGUGCUUAACACAUGCAAGUCGAACGGAAAGGCCCUGCUUUUGUGGGGUGCUCGAGUGGCGAACGGGUGAGUAACACGGGAGUAACCUGCCCUGGACUUUGGGAUAACUUCAGGAAACUGGGGCUAAUGCCGGAUAGGAGCUCCUGCUGCAUGGUGGGGGUUGGAAAGUUUCGGCGGUUGGGGAUGGACUCGCGGCUUAUCAGCUUGUUGGUGGGGUAGUGGCUUACCAAGGCUUUGACGGGUAGCCGGCCUGAGAGGGUGACCGGCCACAUUGGGACUGAGAUACGGCCCAGACUCCUACGGGAGGCAGCAGUGGGGAAUAUUGCACAAUGGGCGGAAGCCUGAUGCAGCAACGCCGCGUGCGGGAUGACGGCCUUCGGGUUGUAAACCGCUUUCGCCUGUGACGAAGCGUGAGUGACGGUAAUGGGUAAAGAAGCACCGGCUAACUACGUG